GAGUUUGAUCAUGGCUCAGAUUGAACGCUGGCGGCAUGCCUUACACAUGCAAGUCGAACGGCAGCACGGGUGCUUGCACCUGGUGGCGAGUGGCGAACGGGUGAGUAAUACAUCGGAACAUGUCCUGUAGUGGGGGAUAGCCCGGCGAAAGCCGGAUUAAUACCGCAUACGAUCUGAGGAUGAAAGCGGGGGACCUUCGGGCCUCGCGCUAUAGGGUUGGCCGAUGGCUGAUUAGCUAGUUGGUGGGGUAAAGGCCUACCAAGGCGACGAUCAGUAGCUGGUCUGAGAGGACGACCAGCCACACUGGGACUGAGACACGGCCCAGACUCCUACGGGAGGCAGCAGUGGGGAAUUUUGGACAAUGGGCGAAAGCCUGAUCCAGCAAUGCCGCGUGUGUGAAGAAGGCCUUCGGGUUGUAAAGCACUUUUGUCCGGAAAGAAAUCCUUGGUUCUAAUAUAGCCGGGGGAUGACGGUACCGGAAGAAUAAGCACCGGCUAACUACGUGCCAGCAGCCGCGGUAAUACGUAGGGUGCAAGCGUUAAUCGGAAUUACUGGGCGUAAAGCGUGCGCAGGCGGUUUGCUAAGACCGAUGUGAAAUCCCCGGGCUCAACCUGGGAACUGCAUUGGUGACUGGCAGCUAGAGUAUGGCAGA
Molecule: ribosomal RNA, 652 nt
Filed under: uncultured Burkholderia sp.
Lineage: Bacteria; Pseudomonadati; Pseudomonadota; Betaproteobacteria; Burkholderiales; Burkholderiaceae
Description: bacterial SSU rRNA
Rfam family: Bacterial small subunit ribosomal RNA
Source: RNAcentral